AGUGAUGCAUGAAGGUUACCUUUGACUAACUUUUGUAAUACUCUCCAUGUAGUCAUUGCAAGUCAUUGGUUUUUAGUGGCCAUUUGUCAUUGCAGGGUUUUUAGUGGCCAUUUGUCAUUGCAGGGUUUUUAGUGGCCAUUUGUCAUUGCAGGGUUUUUAGUGGCCAUUUGUCAUUGCAGGGUUUUUAGUGGCCAUUUGUCAUUGCAGGGGUUUUAGUGGCCAUUUGUCAUUGCA
Penaeus vannamei (Pacific white shrimp) is the source of this 234-nucleotide non-coding RNA. Lineage: Eukaryota; Metazoa; Arthropoda; Malacostraca; Decapoda; Penaeidae. The record is from RefSeq and is a predicted model, not a curated record.